RNAcentral lists this unclassified non-coding RNA (380 nucleotides) under plant metagenome. RNAcentral's name for it is "partial contains 5.8S ribosomal RNA, internal transcribed spacer 2, and large subunit ribosomal RNA". The stretch from base 1 to 105 matches the Rfam family "5.8S ribosomal RNA", at positions 50 to 154 of the family's 154-position model. The record is from RNAcentral.
GAAAUGCGAUAAGUAAUGUGAAUUGCAGAAUUCCGUGAAUCAUCGAAUCUUUGAACGCACAUUGCGCCCUCUGGUAUUCCGGGGGGCAUGCCUGUCCGAGCGUCAUUGCGAACCCCUCAAGCACGGCUUGUGUGAUGGGCCUCUCGCGUCCUGGGAUCCCCCGGGACGGGUCCGAAUAGCAGUGGCGGCGACGCGGUUUAUCCGAUCAGCCAGAGCGUAUGGGGACUCUCCGUCACACGUCUCGCGGCGCGGACCGACGUCUGCCUAUUGAUCAAUCUUUUCUCGGUUGACCUCGGAUCAGGUAGGGAUACCCGCUGAACUUAAGCAUAUCAAUAAGCGGAGGACUGUCUCUUUAUACACAUCUCCCGAGCCCCACGAGA